RNAcentral lists this ribosomal RNA (206 nucleotides) under uncultured bacterium. Its description in RNAcentral is "partial 16S ribosomal RNA". It matches the Rfam family "Bacterial small subunit ribosomal RNA", at positions 524 to 722 of the family's 1533-position model. The record is from RNAcentral.
UACGUAGGGUGCGAGCGUUGUCCGGAAUUACUGGGCGUAAAGAGCUCGUAGGUGGUUUGUCGCGUUGUCCGUGAAAAUUCCCUGGCUUAACUGGGGGCGUGCGGGGCGAUACGGGGCAGACUGGAGUACUGCAGGGGAGACUGGAAUUCCUGGUGUAGCGGUGGAAUGCGCAGAUAUCAGGAGGGAACACCCGGUGGGCGAAAGGC